AAACAGAAUAGGCAAUUCGAAAGUACCAGGGGAAAAAGAAGAAAAGAAAGAAAAAGGAAAAACUAGAGUUUGGAAGGUUUAAGCUUUAAUUGGUAAGUCAAUUAAUUCCUUUUUACUUAAAUUUGAUGUUUUAGAAGAUUUAGAACAAAGUUUUGUUGAAAUUAAGUUGAGGUUUUGGAAGUUUUUUAGGUUUUUGAACAUAGUUCAUGUUGAACAAAAUAAUGAAUUUGGGGUUUAAUUGAAUAAAUUUUAAGUUAUAAUUGAUUAAAGGAUCAAAUUGUAAACUAGGCUAUAAGUUUUGUGUUGUAGGGAUUAAAUUGAAAGAAGUUUUAAAUUAGGGUUUUAUUAUGAACAUUAGAUAGUUAAGUAUAAUAUGGAAGGAAAUUGAAUAGAAAUAAAGUAUGAAUUGAGUUAGAAAAGUAAAUGAGUUAAUUAUGAUUAAAUUGGAAUUAGGGUAUAAAUUGGAUAAAAAUUCAAUUAUUAUUAAUUAGUGUUGUAUUAAUAAUGAAAAAUUAUUAUUAUUUUUGUAGCUAACAAAGAACCCUAGGCAUCGGCACACAAAGGAAAUGAGAAGGCUAUCGAGGAUUAAAACAAGAAAUUCAAGGUUUGUAUUACUAUAAUUUAAACUACUAUUUAUUAAAUGUUAUAUUUAAAUUUAUGUGUAUGGUAAGUAAAAUUUUAAGGUAAGUAUCAAUAUUAAAAUGAAUGAAAUUGAGAUGAAGUAUGAUUAUGUAUGAAUAUUAAUAGUGUAUUGUUGGAAAGUGGAAAAUUAUAUCGAACUAAAUUGUACAUUGAAAGUGAAAUUGAAAUUGAGAAAGUGAUUUGAAUACCCUAUUAACUAAUCGGGCUUAUUCGGAUAUAAUUGGCAUGCCAUGGGAUUGGAAGAGUACGGUAAUUUAUCGGCUUUGCCGAUCAGGCACUAUAUGUAUUGUAUUAGGCACUACGUGUGUCGUUUCAGGCACUUUAUGUGUUGUAUACUGCUUCUGAUAUGUUGAUCAGGUACUAAGUACGUUUUAUUCACAAUGUGCCGUAUUGGUGUGUUUGGUUGGAAUCCAUGUAUCCGCUAAUGUCCGAGUUUGUUAAUAGGGUAAAUAAUCGAAAUGUGAGAAUUGAAUAAAUUUGAUUGAUCGUACGACUAAAAGUAUAAGAAAGAAAUUGUUAGUCGAAUUGUGAGAUUUGAAAACAUGAACCUAAGGUUCAUGAAUUGAUCAAAUUCAAGUUAUUAAUAUAUGAUAUUGUUGAUGAAUUAUUAUAUAUGAAAUAUGAAACUGAAUGUAAAUUAGUUAUUCUGAGUUAUAAAAUUUACAUGUUUAAUGUUAUAUGAUUAAUUU
This 1331-nucleotide long non-coding RNA is filed under the name Gossypium raimondii (Peruvian cotton). RNAcentral describes it as "long non-coding RNA (GRAI_LNC006927)". Lineage: Eukaryota; Viridiplantae; Streptophyta; Magnoliopsida; Malvales; Malvaceae. The record is from RNAcentral.